ACGAACGCUGGCGGCGUGCUUAACACAUGCAAGUCGAACGGAAAGGCCCUGCUUUUGUGGGGUGCUCGAGUGGCGAACGGGUGAGUAACACGUGAGUAACCUGCCCUUGACUUUGGGAUAACUUCAGGAAACUGGGGCUAAUACCGGAUAGGAGCUCCUGCUGCAUGGUGGGGGUUGGAAAGUUUCGGCGGUUGGGGAUGGACUCGCGGCUUAUCAGCUUGUUGGUGGGGUAGUGGCUUACCAAGGCGUUGACGGGUAGCCGGCCUGAGAGGGUGACCGGCCACAUUGGGACUGAGAUACGGCCCAGAGGCAUACGGGAGGCAGAAGUGGGGAAUAUUGCACAAUGGGCGGAAGGCUGAUGCAGCGACGCCGCGUGCGGGAUGACGGCCUUCGGGUUGUAAACCGCUUUCGCCUGUGACGAAGCGUGAGUGACGGUAAUGGGUAAAGAAGCACCGGCUAACUACGUG
This 467-nucleotide ribosomal RNA is filed under the name uncultured bacterium. RNAcentral describes it as "partial 16S ribosomal RNA". It matches the Rfam family "Bacterial small subunit ribosomal RNA", at positions 29 to 507 of the family's 1533-position model. The record is from RNAcentral.